GAAGUGUUAGUCUAAAAAGACAGUUGAUUUCGACUCAACAGAUUAUGGCUCAACCCAUAACACUU
This 65-nucleotide transfer RNA is filed under the name Anomaloglossus apiau. RNAcentral's name for it is "tRNA-Arg". It matches the Rfam family "tRNA". From Rfam's summary of the family: Transfer RNA (tRNA) molecules are approximately 80 nucleotides in length. Their secondary structure includes four short double-helical elements and three loops (D, anti-codon, and T loops). The record is from RNAcentral. Lineage: Eukaryota; Metazoa; Chordata; Amphibia; Anura; Aromobatidae.